Molecule: ribosomal RNA, 402 nt
Filed under: Actinomycetes bacterium
Lineage: Bacteria; Bacillati; Actinomycetota; Actinomycetes
Description: Actinobacteria bacterium partial 16S ribosomal RNA
Rfam family: Bacterial small subunit ribosomal RNA
Source: RNAcentral
UGGGGAAUUUUGCACAAUGGGGGCAACCCUGAUGCAGCGACGCCGCGUGAUUUAGAAGGCCUUCGGGUUGUAAAAAUCUUUUGUAUAGGAAGAAAAUGACAGUACUAUACGAAUAAGGUCCGGCUAAUUACGUGCCAGCAGCCGCGGUAAUACGUAAGGACCGAGCGUUGUCCGGAAUCAUUGGGCGUAAAGGGUACGUAGGCGGUUAAAAAAGUUAGAAGUGAAAGGCUAUAGCUCAACUAUAGUAAGCUUUUAAAACUGUUUAACUUGAGAGAUGGAAGGAAAAGUGGAAUUCCUAGUGUAGCGGUGAAAUGCGCAGAUAUUAGGAGGAAUACCGGUGGCGAAGGCGACUUUCUGGCCAUUAUCUGACGCUGAGGUACGAAAGCGUGGGUAGCAAACAGG